Molecule: ribosomal RNA, 253 nt
Filed under: uncultured bacterium
Lineage: Bacteria
Description: partial 16S ribosomal RNA
Rfam family: Bacterial small subunit ribosomal RNA
Source: RNAcentral
UACGUAGGGACCAAGCGUUGUUCGGAUUUACUGGGCGUAAAGGGCGCGUAGGCGGCAUGACAAGUCACUUGUGAAAUCUCCGGGCUUAACUCGGAACGGCCAAGUGAAACUGUCAAGCUAGAGUGCAGAAGGGGCAAUCGGAAUUCUUGGUGUAGCGGUGAAAUGCGUAGAUAUCGGGAAGAACACCCGUGGCUAAGGCGGCUCUCUAGUACGGUACUGACGCUGAGACGCGAAAGCGUGGGGAGCGAACAGG